RNAcentral lists this ribosomal RNA (1285 nucleotides) under uncultured bacterium. RNAcentral's name for it is "partial 16S ribosomal RNA". It matches the Rfam family "Bacterial small subunit ribosomal RNA", at positions 19 to 1285 of the family's 1533-position model. The record is from RNAcentral.
CUGGCUCAGGACGAACGCUGGCGGCGUGCCUAAUACAUGCAAGUAGAACGCUGAAGACUUUAUCUUGCUAAAGUUGGAAGAGUUGCGAACGGGUGAGUAACACGUGGGGAACCUGCCCCUAAGUCUGGGAUACCAUUUGGAAACAGGUGCUAAUACCGGAUAAUAAAGCAGAUCGCAUGAACAACGUUUGAAAGACGGCGUAAGCUGUCGCUAAGGGAUGGCCCCGCGGUGCAUUAGCUUGUUGGUGGGGUAAUGGCUUACCAAGGCGAUGAUGCAUAGCCGAGUUGAGAGACUGAUCGGCCACAAUGGGACUGAGACACGGCCCAUACUCCUACGGGAGGCAGCAGUAGGGAAUCUUCCACAAUGGGCGCAAGCCUGAUGGAGCAACACCGCGUGAGUGAAGAAGGGUUUCGGCUCGUAAAGCUCUGUUGUAAAAGAAGAACAUGCGUGAGAGUAACUGUUCACGCAUUGACGGUAUUUAACCAGAAAGUCACGGCUAACUACGUGCCAGCAGCCGCGGUAAUACGUAGGUGGCAAGCGUUAUCCGGAUUUAUUGGGCGUAAAGAGAGUGCAGGCGGUUUACUAAGUCUGAUGUGAAAGCCUUCGGCUUAACCGGAGAAGGGCAUCGGAAACUGGCUAACUUGAGUGCAGAAGAGGGUAGUGGAACUCCAUGUGUAGCGGUGGAAUGCGUAGAUAUAUGGAAGAACACCAGUGGCGAAGGCGGCUACCUGGUCUGUAACUGACGCUGAGACUCGAAAGCAUGGGUAGCGAACAGGAUUAGAUACCCUGGUAGUCCAUGCCGUAAACGAUGAGGGGAAAGGUUGGGGAGGGUUCUGCCUCUCAGUGCUGCGGACAAAGGCAUUACGCACUCCGCUUGGGGAGUACGGCCGCAAGGAUGAAACUCAAAGGAAUUGACGGGGGCCCGCACACACGGUGGAGCAUGUGGUUUAUUUCGAAGCAACGCGAAGAACCUUCCCAGGUCUUGGCAUCCCGAUGCCAUUCCUAGAGAUAGGAAGUGUCUUCGGAACAACGGUGACAGGUGGUGCAUGGUGGUCGUCAGCUCGUGUCGUGAGAUGUUGGGUUAAGUCCCGCAACGAGCGCAACCCCUAUUGUUAGUGGCCAUCAUUAAGCUGGGCACUCUAGCGAGAGUGCCGGUAAUAAACCGGAGGGAGGGGGGGGGGACGUCAAAUCAUCACGCCCCCUAUGAGGUGGGGGACACACGUGCUACAAUGGUUGGUACAACGAGUGGCGAGUGGGUGACGGCAAACAAAUCUCUUAAAGCCAA